ACGGAAGGCAGCAGUGAGGAAUAUUGGUCAAUGGGCGGAAGCCUGAACCAGCCAAGUCGCGUGAAGGAUGAAGGUAUUAUGUAUUGUAAACUUCUUUAGCUGUGGAGCAAUAAUCGCCAUGCAUGGCGAGAUGAGAGUACACAGAGAAUAAGGAUCGGCUAACUCCGUGCCAGCAGCCGCGGUAAUACGGAGGAUCCGAGCGUUAUCCGGAUUUAUUGGGUUUAAAGGGUGCGCAGGCGGUCUUUUAAGUCAGUGGUCAAAUCGCGGAGCUCAACUCCGUCCCGCCAUUGAUACUGGGAGACUUGAUUGCGGUCGAGGUUGGCGGAAUUCGUCGUGUAGCGGUGAAAUGCAUAGAUAUGACGAAGAACACCGAUUGCGUAGGCAGCUGACCAGGCCGUAAAUGACGCUCAUGCACGAAAGUGCGGGGAUCGAACAGGAUUAGAUACCCUGGUA
This 453-nucleotide ribosomal RNA is filed under the name uncultured Porphyromonadaceae bacterium. Its description in RNAcentral is "partial 16S ribosomal RNA". It matches the Rfam family "Bacterial small subunit ribosomal RNA", at positions 341 to 792 of the family's 1533-position model. The record is from RNAcentral. Lineage: Bacteria; Pseudomonadati; Bacteroidota; Bacteroidia; Bacteroidales; Porphyromonadaceae.